Molecule: ribosomal RNA, 305 nt
Filed under: uncultured bacterium
Lineage: Bacteria
Description: bacterial SSU rRNA
Rfam family: Bacterial small subunit ribosomal RNA
Source: RNAcentral
UCCCCUACGGGGCGCAGCAGUGAGGAAUAUUGGUCAAUGGGCGCGAGCCUGAACCAGCCAAGUCGCGUGAGGGAAGACGGUCCUAUGGAUUGUAAACCUCUUUUGUCGGGGAGCAAAAGACGCCACGCGUGGCGUUCCGAGAGUACCCGAAGAAAAAGCAUCGGCUAACUCCGUGCCAGCAGCCGCGGUAAUACGGAGGAUGCGAGCGUUAUCCGGAUUUAUUGGGUUUAAAGGGUGCGCAGGCGGAAGAGCAAGUCAGCGGUAAAAAUUCGGGGCUCAACCCGGUCCGGCCGUUGUAACUGGGG